UAAGAGGUCCCGCCUGCCCUGUGACUAUAAGUUUAACGGCCGCGGUAUUUUGACCGUGCAAAGGUAGCGCAAUCACUUGUCUUUUAAAUGAAGACCUGUAUGAAUGGCACGACGAGGGCUUAACUGUCUCCUUUCCCCAGUCAAUGAAAUUGAUCUCCCCGUGCAGAAGCGGGGAUACCACCAUAAGACGAGAAGACCCUAUGGAGCUUUAGACACCAGGACAGACCAUGUCAAUACCCUCUAAUCAAAGAGUAGAACUAAUUGGCCCCUGCCCCUAUGUCUUUGGUUGGGGCGACCGCGGGGUAAAACAAAACCCCCACGUGGAUUAGGAGUAUACUCCUACAACCAAGAGCAUACAGCUCUAAGUAACAGAAUAUCUGACCAUCAAGAUCCGGCCAUGCCGAUCAACGGACCGAGUUACCCUAGGGAUAACAGCGCAAUCCUCUUUUAGAGCCCAUAUCGACAAGGGGGUUUACGACCUCGAUGUUGGAUCAGGACAUCCUAUUGGUGCAGCCGCUAUUAAGGGUUCGUUUGUUCAACGAUUAA
Molecule: ribosomal RNA, 546 nt
Filed under: Atherinosoma microstoma (small-mouth hardyhead)
Lineage: Eukaryota; Metazoa; Chordata; Actinopteri; Atheriniformes; Atherinidae
Description: partial 16S large subunit ribosomal RNA
Rfam family: Bacterial large subunit ribosomal RNA
Source: RNAcentral